GGGGUUGUGGCUCAGUGAUAGAGCGCUCGCCUAGCACAUGUGAGAAGGCCCUGGGUUCAAUCCUCAGCACCACA
This 74-nucleotide transfer RNA is filed under the name Marmota monax (woodchuck). Its description in RNAcentral is "tRNA.Ala". Lineage: Eukaryota; Metazoa; Chordata; Mammalia; Rodentia; Sciuridae. The record is from RNAcentral.